UACGUAGGGGGCUAGCGUUGUCCGGAAUCAUUGGGCGUAAAGAGCGUGUAGGCGGCCCUGCAAGUCCGCUGUGAAAGUCGGGGGCUCAACCCUCGAAUGCCGGUGGAUACUGUCGGGCUAGAGUGCGGAAGAGGCGAGUGGAAUUCCUGGUGUAGCGGUGAAAUGCGCAGAUAUCAGGAGGAACACCGAUUGCGAAGGCAGCGCGCUGGGACGUCACUGACGCUGAGACGCGAAAGCGUGGGGAGCAAACAGG
RNAcentral lists this ribosomal RNA (253 nucleotides) under uncultured bacterium. RNAcentral's name for it is "partial 16S ribosomal RNA". It matches the Rfam family "Bacterial small subunit ribosomal RNA", at positions 524 to 776 of the family's 1533-position model. The record is from RNAcentral.